CAAAUUCGAAUCAUAAUUCUUUAGACUGCCGCUCCAUAAACAUCUACAGAUACGUAUUUGUUUGUGUGAUACUUGUGAUUGUCCGCAGGCAUGUUGUGGUCUUUUGAGUAGUUAGACAUUUGUGAGAUCGUUUUUGUGUGAAACUGAAGGAGAUGUUAAAGGCUCUACUUGAUACUCGCACAAUGCGAUAGCAAAUAUGCCGAAUCUAUUUUUGUGAAGUUGUUCCUUUUAAUUUGCGUUCUCAACUGCCAAGUCAAGAUGUGCUCUACUUUUUCCGAUCCGUGUUGCAGUCCUGUUUGCAGUCCUGGUUGCGGUCCGUGUGGCAGUCCGUGUGGCAGUCCGUGUUGCAGUGCGUGUUGCAGUUCGUGUUGCGGCCCCUGUAUCAGUCCCUGCUAUAUGUAUUGUUGCAGUCAGAGUUGCAGCCCCUGCUGCACCGCUUGCUGUACCGCGUGCUGCUAUACAAGCUGCUCAUCCCGCGGCUGUUACCCAUGCUAAUGGAUGGAGUAGAGUGGAGCGCAGCCUCACGCUGCCUGGAACACGUGCUUCACAAUCGUAUUGUUAGAUACUCGCCCCAGACUACGACUUAAGGCUACAAUAAUGGUUAAGCAAUACGUGGACAACAGCUAAAAAUACCUAUUAAAGCGCGGAGA
This is a long non-coding RNA of Drosophila hydei, 650 nucleotides long. RefSeq lists it as uncharacterized. NCBI's taxonomy places the organism in Eukaryota, Metazoa, Arthropoda, Insecta, Diptera, Drosophilidae. The record is from RefSeq and is a predicted model, not a curated record. The transcript has 4 exons.